This 460-nucleotide ribosomal RNA is filed under the name uncultured bacterium. Its description in RNAcentral is "partial 16S ribosomal RNA". It matches the Rfam family "Bacterial small subunit ribosomal RNA", at positions 338 to 795 of the family's 1533-position model. The record is from RNAcentral.
CCUACGGGCGGCAGCAGUGAGGAAUAUUGGUCAAUGGCCGUAAGGCUGAACCAGCCAAGUCGCGUGAAGGAAGAAGGAUCUAUGGUUUGUAAACUUCUUUUAUAGGGGAAUAAAGGUAUCCACGUGUGGAUAUUUGCAUGUACCCUAUGAAUAAGCAUCGGCUAACUCCGUGCCAGCAGCCGCGGUAAUACGGAGGAUGCGAGCGUUAUUCGGAUUGAUUGGGCUUAAAGGGUACGGAGGUGGUUUUUUAAGUCAGCGGUGAAAGUUUCUGGCUCAACCAUAAAAUUGCCGUUGAAACUGGCAGGCUUGAGUGUGGUAGAGGUAGGUAGAAUGCGAGGUGUAGCGGUGAAAUGCAUAGAGAUCACGCAGAACACCGAUUGCGAAGGCAGCCUCCUAAGCCAUGACUGACACUGAGGUGCGAAAGCGUGGGGAUCAAACAGGAUUAGAUACCCGAGUAGUC